This is a non-coding RNA of Cyanistes caeruleus (blue tit), 4927 nucleotides long. Lineage: Eukaryota; Metazoa; Chordata; Aves; Passeriformes; Paridae. The record is from RefSeq and is a predicted model, not a curated record.
CUUUAAGGUAGGAUCCUACUUUUCAAUGGCCUAAACUACUGUCAAUUCUCAGCAGUGACCGAUAAUUGGUCACGAGAAAAGACUCCAGGUUAUUCCUUUCUGUCCUGCUGUUUGAGACUGGGAAGGAUGGGCAGUUCAAGUUAAAAAUUGGUUUAUAUAUUGGGGUAUAUAUAUAUAUAAAUGUAUGUAUAUUUAAAUAGGUUAAAAUUGGAGACUUGCAGCUCCAGCAGUGAUCUAAGAACUUCUGUUGAUGCUGUAUCAAAACACUCAUGAUAUUUGGACUUCUCUUCAGAUGGAAACCUGAGUUGUGACUGAUCAAUAAGCCCUUAUAAUGGGGUUUUCCUGUUUGAUUUUCUACCUACUGGAUUAUUGCAGUGAUUCUAGGGAUCCUCUUCUUGGUAUUUCUGGGAAUAACAGGGCAUUUUAUUACCAAAGGUAUGUAAAUCUCCUUCACUGAAAAUACUUAAUUUGAAUUUAGAACUUAAUCAGGGAUCACAGCAGAGCUCUUGAAAUCUGCUCAUUGGUCCAAGAAGAAUGUGGAGGUCUUCUCUUUAAAAAAAUAUUUACUCUCAUACCUAUUUCCAUCUGGAAAAUGGAUGUCCUUCACAGAUUCCUUCAGAGACUCUGAUUCUUUGCAAGCCUCAGAAGAGCUCCAGGGAUGGCAUUACUGUAAAUGAAUAUUUUCUGAAUAAAUGAAAAAAUUUCUGAAAGAACACAUUUGGGAAACGAGUUUGUAAGGAACUAGACAUGACUACAAAUGGGAGGAGACAUAUAUGAUUCUUUUUCAGGCUGUCCAUGUCCAUGCUGCCCUGAGCAGUGAGUGACCUACAGAGGCAGUUGUUACUCCUUCUCCAAGGAGAAGGACUAGAACUCCAGCCAGGAAUCCUGCUGGGCAGAGGGAGCUCAUCUCCUGGUGAUCAGCAAUACCUGUGAAAUGGUGGGUGCCUUUGCAGAGGUAAGGGCAGGAUGAAGUGGGAGCAAGUCCCUGGUACUGUUAUGGUAGUUCCUUCCCUCUGGGAGGAAGGGAGAGCGUAAAAGGCUCCUGGGACCCACCCACCACCACCCUGCACUGGCAAAGACAAGGCUUUCCCUUAGACACUUUGCAAGAGGGACUUGCUUCUUUCUACCUGACUCAGCUAAGUUUUGUUUGUCAUGAGUUCAGUCUUCAAAACCCACAGCUGGGGAAGCUGCCUGGCACUCUGAAAUGCUGAGUCUCACAAAGCAGGUCUCUGAAGGAAGGAAGGGAAUAGGUGUUCACAUUCAGAAAUGGCCCCAAAAUUUCCUCUGUCACACACUGCUUCUUUCUCUACCCUUCAAGACCCAGGACUUGACUGGGUUUCUUUGAGUCUACUGAUCUCUCUGUCUUUCCAUCCCUCUUAGGACUUCUUCCAGAUACUACACAGCAAAUCCCACUGGAUUGGUUUGCAGAGGAACACUGAUGGGAACUGGGCCUGGGAAGAUGGCUCAAAACUGAGCAGUGAAAAUUGAGUAUGGUGUUUCCUUUGUACUUUUAGAUAAAAUGCUUGAGAUCCUUCCCCUCUCUGACAUGAGAAGUCUCAUGGUAUUGGGCAGAAGUCAACUAGCAAUGGACACAGCUGCUAAGGGAAGUUCAGAGCAGUCAUAGGCUCUAGUAGCUAAGGGCUUCUUCCUGCCAAGCUACCAGGGCCCAGCUGGGUGCCUGUAGACCUGGGAGUCUCUAUCCCAGGCUAAUGGACACAACUGCUGCAUUCCUGCCAGUAGGUCCCACUUGUUUUGUGUCCCGGGACAAAUAUGUAUACAGGCACACAUGCAAGCAAAACUGUGACAGUGAUCAUGCCUGUAAUCAUCAGCUGCUCCCAGAGAAUCAGACCCAUCCCGUGCUUUACCUCAUCCCCUCUCUUUCCUCCUUGUCCCCUUAAAGUUCCUCAACAAGUUUUGCACAGCCACACAGGCCCACCUUGAAUGUACUCAAAUCUUCCAGUUCCACUUUCACCUCACCUUUCACAUCUGUUACAAAGCCCAAGGUGCCUCUGUCCAAAGCUGUGACUGGAGGUUUUUUAUGGCACAUCGAUUAGAAGCUGAAGACUUUUGGUCUUUGCAGUUUUGUCUUUUAUUUCUUGAAUGUUUGUGUCUGUGGAUUUCUGUUUCAUCGUUUUGUCCUCAUUAUCAUCUUUUGCACUGAACAAAUCCUUGAUUGGAUAACCUUAAUGAAGCAGAGGCUUCCACCUUUCACAUACCCAUACAGAUGAUUUUAACUGGAUACUUCAAUUGGGAUACUUUAUACUUUCUGUCCCAAAUGCCUUUAGUAAACCAGCAAAAAAUCCCUUGUGGAAUAGAACAUUUUGCUUUUUAGUGAUGGGAAAUGGAGAGCCCAAUGUGAGACUGGCAAACUGCAAGUCUCACAUUGAGCUCCAGGUAUUAUAAGUGCCACUUCCAGACCACCUGUAUCCCAGGAUGGAUCCUCCCUGCCAUCAGCUCAUGAAGUCUGACCUGUAGCUGGUCCCUUCGCUCUAAAGCUGUGAAAUGUUCUUCCCUUUGCCAAAGUGGGGACCCCUCUCUAAUGUCACCCUGCUUGUGUGCUCUGUCUCCCACAGGGUCAAGUCCACCAGCCCUGAACAGAACUGCGCUGUUCUGCUGAAUGGUGCCAACUAUGCUUCCAGCUGUCAAGUCCCUGCCCCAUGGAUCUGUGAGAAAUCUGCUCAGUGACCUCUAUGGACCUUGUCUUAGGAAGCAUUCUUUGGAGAGCUGUGCUAAGGCCUGAUUCCUGUGAAGUUUCUCAGAGAGCAGCUGUGCUCCUUGCUCCUGUGCCACCUGCUACUCCUCAAGGAAUGAAUGCAGCUGCCACAGGAGGUCUGAAUGCUGCUCCUGUCUCCAUUCAGGACCACUCUGGUGAUGUUCACACUCAUAGCCCUUACCUAGUGACAGACAGUCAUCAGAGUGGUAGAGAAGGGGGAGGAGAGAUUUCUCUGAGUCACUCAGUCAUUUUCAGAGGUAUUUGAGCACUGUCACUGCUGUUUUGAAAUCCUAGGGAGAGGUGAGCUUGUAAUCUGUGAGCUCUGAGUUUAUUUACCUCUUUUGUGACACUGGUGACAUGCACCAAGGAUGAAAGCUAGCCUGAAGUUUGAAGUUGGUCUGUUUUUGCAAGUGAUAUAGAUGAUGUCCACUGGACCUUUCUAACCUAAUUUCUUCUGUGGUUUAUGUUGUAUCUGGAGAAAACUGGAGUAUGGCCUCUAGUGUUACAUUGCUGUGUAAAUAGCUGUGAAGGAGUGAACCUACUGCCUUGCUGAGCUGAAAAUAAAUGUGAAUUGCUUCUAACAAUUUCUUCAGUAGUGACUUUUUCUGUUUUCCUCCCUAUUAUUAUUGGAUAGUGCAUUCAUUGAUUUAUAAAAAGGCAAAAGGAAGCUGGUGGCAGGAACAGACUCAGAAGAGCAGGGGUUGAAAUACUUUGCAGUAACACUGCAGCAGAAAAUUACAGCCACAGCCAUGGAACUGUUGCCUACCCCAAGGGAUUAAGGACUGACAAAUUUACUUUUUUUUGUAGCCAAAUGAGUGAAGCGCUUCAUCUUCCAGUCCCUUUGUCCUAAGGCCUGCCUUGGCCAUGGUUCAAGUGCCCUGCAUCACCCCUGAGUGGUCUGUUUGGCCCCUGCUCAGAGUUUCCUCCAGAACAGCUCUCUUCUUAAAGAAGUCCUGCCAGACCCCUCAUCCAGCACUUCUUCCCAUGGGAUGCAGCAGAUAGAUAUAGUUCCAAUUUUUGUGACAAGUAGGCCACAAUCACACAAUGUCCUGUGCUGUGCAGCAACACCUUGACGGCAUGACAGGACAACUGUGAUGACUUUUUAGGGACAACCUAUUGGUAUUUUAGUGGUAUCUUAUGACAGUAUUUCUUAAAAUACUAAUAAUUAUGUUGUUAGGUUCAUUGUCCUAAGCAGUCACAAAAUAAGUUACUAGAAUUAGAUUAAGAAGUAUGUAAGUUACAGAAAUAAAGCUGGUUUUUUACCAAUGAAAUUGAGAUGCUAGUGUAACACCCAGGAGAUGUGAGAUGACAAAAAAGUUGUUGCUUAAUGAAUAUUUCUAAAAAUUUCAUCUUUAGCACCCCUUUGGUGUUGAAAAACAUGUAAGGUUAAUUAAAGUUAUGCAAUAGUAGCUUAGUAUUAUCCUGCAUUCUUCACAGUAAUCUUAAAGAAUGUUUAAUUCUCAUCAUACCUUAGUUAUUUUAAAAUUGUUACCUGUUCAGAAUCAAUUUGAAAAGUUACUUGUUUGUGUUCAGUAGUUUCCUAUAAGAGCUAUUCACUUUGAAUUACAAAACCCAACACAGCACGUGAGAAGAACAGGAGAGGUGCUCCAAAUAUUUCUUGCUAGAAGAAUGUGAAGCAAACCAGGAAGGAUCCUUUUCUUUUUAAUUCCUCUCACCCGGGGUGUUGUUUCAGCCUCUGAGGAGCACUCUUCUGUUUAGUAUGAAUGAUUACUCCUCAUGAAUAUACAAGUCUUUUCUCCGCACAUGGAAUUUUUGUCCUGUUCUCCCUACAGAGUCUGAGGCACCAAAAAAAUAGUACUGUGUUACUUCUGCUAGUUUGUGACUUUUCCAUAAUCAACUAUUAGAUUUCUAAACUAUACUUGCAGUACUGGAAAUGUGGAAAAUUAUUUGGGCUAUGGAAUGAAAACAGUUGUGUACACAUUUUAAGAAAAAAUAAAUAUUAUAGCACAGCUUUCUUUCAAAGGCAAUGUGCACUGCUGAACUGUUCAUCAGAAAAACAGAGAGAGAAUGUUAAAUAUAUCUGCCUUGUUUUUUGUCUUGGUGAAAACCCUGUUAGCUGUCUGUUCUAUACUGCCUUCAGGGAGUUAAAUGAGUAAGAUUUUUCUCAUGGUAUUUUAUACAAUUUGAAAGAAGUUCUGCUGUGUACACAGUGUCAGAAAAAAUAAACUGGAGAAAUAAACAAGAUCAGAUAAA